Molecule: ribosomal RNA, 484 nt
Filed under: uncultured bacterium
Lineage: Bacteria
Description: partial 16S ribosomal RNA
Rfam family: Bacterial small subunit ribosomal RNA
Source: RNAcentral
GACGAACGCUGGCGGCGUGCUUAACACAUGCAAGUCGAACGAUGAAGCCGGAGCUUGCUCUGGUGAAUUAGUGGCGAACGGGUGAGUAACACGUGAGUAACCUGCCCUUGACUCUGGGAUAACUGCGGGAAACUGUAGCUAAUAUCGGAUACGACCCUCGGAGGCAUCUCCUGGGGGUGGAAAGAAUUUCGGUCAAGGAUGGACUCGCGGCCUAUCAGCUAGUUGGUGAGGUAAAGGCUCACCAAGGCGACGACGGGUAGCCGGCCUGAGAGGGUGACCGGCCACACUGGGACUGAGACACGGCACAGACUCCUACGGGAGGCAGCAGUGGGGAAUAUUGCACAAUGGGCGCAAGCCUGAUGCAGCAACGCCGCGUGAGGGAUGACGGCCUUCGGGUUGUAAACCUCUUUUAGCAGGGAAGAAGCGAAAGUGACGGUACCUGCAGAAAAAGCACCGGCUAACUACGUGCCAGCAGCCGCCGUAA